CCGACCUUAGCUCAGUUGGAAGAGCGCAAGACUGUAAAUCUUGAUGUCGCCUGUUCGAACCAGGCAGGUCGGA
Molecule: transfer RNA, 73 nt
Filed under: Volvariella volvacea V23
Lineage: Eukaryota; Fungi; Basidiomycota; Agaricomycetes; Agaricales; Pluteaceae
Description: tRNA-Tyr (GTA) (tRNA-Tyr-GTA-2-1)
Rfam family: tRNA
About the family: Transfer RNA (tRNA) molecules are approximately 80 nucleotides in length. Their secondary structure includes four short double-helical elements and three loops (D, anti-codon, and T loops).
Source: RNAcentral